This 431-nucleotide ribosomal RNA is filed under the name uncultured bacterium. Its description in RNAcentral is "bacterial SSU rRNA". It matches the Rfam family "Bacterial small subunit ribosomal RNA", at positions 355 to 799 of the family's 1533-position model. The record is from RNAcentral.
UAGGGAAUAUUGCACAAUGGGGGAAACCCUGAUGCAGCGACGCCGCGUGAGUGAUGAAGGCCUUCGGGUCGUAAAGCUCUGUCGUAUGGGACUAACACAAUGAAGGUACCAUGCAAGAAAGGAUCGGCUAACUUCGUGCCAGCAGCCGCGGUAAGACGAGGGAUCCUAGCGUUGUUCGGAAUUAUUGGGCGUAAAGCGGGUGUAGGCGGAUUUAUAAGUCAGGUGUGAAAUCCCAGGGCUCAACCCUGGAAGUGCACUUGAUACUGUAGAUCUUGAGUGCGGUAGAGGUUACUGGGAAUUCCUGGUGUAGUGGUAAAAUACGUAGAUAUCAGGAGGAAUACCGGAGGCGAAGGCGAGUAACUGGGCCAACACUGACGCUGAGACCCGAAAGCGUGGGGAUCAAACAGGAUUAGAUACCCACGUAGUCCCUG